AUUGAACGCUGGCGGCAUGCUUUACACAUGCAAGUCGGACGGCAGCACAGAGAAGCUUGCUUCUUGGGUGGCGAGUGGCGAACGUGUGAGUAAUAUAUCGGAACGUACCGAGUAAUGGGGGAUAACUAAUCGAAAGAUUAGCUAAUACCGCAUAUUCUCUGAGGAGGAAAGCAGGGGACCUUCGGGCCUUGCGUUAUUCGAGCGGCCGAUAUCUGAUUAGCUAGUUGGUGGGGUAAAGGCCUACCAAGGCGACGAUCAGUAGCGGGUCUGAGAGGAUGAUCCGCCACACUGGGACUGAGACACGGCCCAGACUCCUACGGGAGGCAGCAGUGGGGAAUUUUGGACAAUGGGCGCAAGCCUGAUCCAGCCAUGCCGCGUGUCUGAAGAAGGCCUUCGGGUUGUAAAGGACUUUUGUCAGGGAAGAAAAGGCUGUUGCUAAUAUCGACAGCUGAUGACGGUACCUGAAGAAUAAGCACCGGCUAACUACGUG
This 490-nucleotide ribosomal RNA is filed under the name uncultured bacterium. Its description in RNAcentral is "partial 16S ribosomal RNA". It matches the Rfam family "Bacterial small subunit ribosomal RNA", at positions 30 to 507 of the family's 1533-position model. The record is from RNAcentral.